Lepisosteus oculatus (spotted gar) is the source of this 1560-nucleotide long non-coding RNA. The record is from Ensembl. NCBI's taxonomy places the organism in Eukaryota, Metazoa, Chordata, Actinopteri, Semionotiformes, Lepisosteidae.
CCAAUAAAAGUGAUCUUAUCUUAUCUAAAUUAGCCAGGUCUGCUGUUGUCCGUUAAUCAUGGGAUCACAACCCGUGCUGGGCUGCACAGACAGGAUGGGAGGCUCCUGUGGGAUACAGUAUGCUCUGGCGUGUUGAGAGGGCAGGGUAGCUCCAUGUUGAAAUUUCCCUUUAAACACGUCGCAGUGGGGAGGUUUAUUUUUGGCAGAUUGUGGAGAGUGCCGCACGCUCGGACGAGGUCAGGGUCUGAUCUGCAGGACCCCAGGAACUCUGCUCAAAUACCUGUCAGCUUCACAGCCUCGUACUGGGGAUAUUUAUAGGGGACAGGCCCACUGAGACUGUUUUGUAUCUCGAAUCACCCUGGCCCCAUUUAUUCCAGCUGGGGACUCAGAAGACUUUUCGUUUUAAAUAGGCCCAGAUCACUGAAGCAAAUUUAUCCUAAUAGACAUCGUAUUCUUUUUUUUUUUACCUUUAUCUGUAUUCGAGUCUGCUGGCUGGCAGAGCUGAUGUGAUCUUCAGUUUUGUCUGCGAAGAGUGAGAUGUACGAGCAGGUGUGAGUGUGGCGAACGGGUCAUACAGCGCAGAGGGCUAGCGGCAGGUGGAAUCAGUGGUUGUGAGGAUGAGGGUGAAACACAGGGGGUGUGAUGAAGGAGGAGGACGGGCUGUUGAUCUGGGGGAUCGCCGUGUUUGCCAGUUCUUGGCUACCCCUUCGCCAGCCCGGCUCCCUCUUUGUCCAAGCUCUCCGGGAGCGAGCCGGCCAUCAAUCCGUGUCAAGUCGCCAAUAAGACUCAUGAACGGUGCAUGAAAUAUUCAGGAGAAGGCAUGGAUUAUUCAUGAUGGCCCAGGACUGGAGGGAGUGCAGGGAUGUGCCGAAACGCUCCUUGACUGAUGUUCCCUGAGUCGUGCUCUGACUGGCACCAGCGAUCAGAGACUCGGAGCUCCCUCCUGCCUUCACCUGUCAGAUGCAAAGAAAUAUCUGGAGGUGGCAGGUUUCCUAACACUUGUCUAAACCGCAAUAUUCACAGGAAGGACAGAGGAGAGGGUCGAAACAGCACCAAUCUUCUGCCGUGGAAAGUUUGUGCCUGGUGCAGCAAUCACUGCAGCUCACCAUCGGUCUGUCUGGCGCUCAAAAGGAAGGAGAUGAGAGAAUCUUCUAGGCUGCACAUCCCCCUCCUACUACGCUUCUGGAAUUUCAGCCACGGCACUGGACCUGUGAUCCCGUCUUUCGACUGCCCUGCCUGUCCGCCUGCCUGCGACUGCACUGUGAGGGAGCAGAUGACGCAUGAUGCCAGGACACUGGGAAUUGUUACGCCUCAGCUCUGCUGAGCCCCUCUCUGGGGCGUGCUCAAGUCCUGAACUUUUAGCCGGACCUGGCAAAUGGCAUGCCGGGCUUCGGAUUUGAAGCCAGACCUAGAGCACGAAGGGAAUUCCGAAUUCUUGGGCAAAAGAGAUGACGGGGUGGUUGCUAUGACGACUCCAGGAUCUGCCUUCAUCCCUCAAUGAGCAGGGGGAGGCGGACACUGUGGAAGGCACUUUCCUCUGGAGAUUUCAGAUGUUCACGU